ACGGGUGAGUAACGCGUAGGAAUCUACCUAGUAGUGGGGGACAACGUCUCGAAAGGGACGCUAAUACCGCAUACGCCCUACGGGGGAAAGGGGGGGAUCUUCGGACCUCUCGCUAUUAGAUGAGCCUGCGUCGGAUUAGCUAGUUGGUGGGGUAAAGGCCCACCAAGGCGACGAUCCGUAGCUGGUCUGAGAGGAUGAUCAGCCACACCGGAACUGAGACACGGUCCGGACUCCUACGGGAGGCAGCAGUGGGGAAUAUUGGACAAUGGGGGCAACCCUGAUCCAGCCAUGCCGCGUGUGUGAAGAAGGCCUUCGGGUUGUAAAGCACUUUAGGGGGGGAGGAAGGUCCCAAAGCGAAUACCUUUGGGAAUUGACGUUACCCCCAGAAUAAGCACCGGCUAACUCCGUGCCAGCAGCCGCGGUAAUACGGAGGGUGCAAGCGUUAAUCGGAAUUACUGGGCGUAAAGCGCGCGUAGGCGGUUAGAUAAGUCGAUUGUGAAAUCCCCGGGCUCAACCUGGGAAUUGCAGUCGAGACUGUCUGACUAGAGUGUGGGAGAGGGUGGUGGAAUUCCCGGUGUAGCGGUGAAAUGC
This 591-nucleotide ribosomal RNA is filed under the name uncultured Gammaproteobacteria bacterium. RNAcentral describes it as "bacterial SSU rRNA". It matches the Rfam family "Bacterial small subunit ribosomal RNA", at positions 102 to 689 of the family's 1533-position model. The record is from RNAcentral. Lineage: Bacteria; Pseudomonadati; Pseudomonadota; Gammaproteobacteria.